GGGCCCGCACAAGCGGUGGAGCAUGUGGUUUAAUUCGACGCAACGCGAAGAACCUUACCUGGGCUUGAACUGCAAUGGACCGCGGUAGAGAUAUCGCUUUUCGCAAGAACUGUUGCAGAGGUGCUGCAUGGCUGUCGUCAGCUCGUGUCGUGAGAUGUUGGGUUAAGUCCCGCAACGAGCGCAACCCUUACCUGUAGUUGCCAGCGGUUCGGCCGGGAACUCUACAGGGACUGCCCGGGUUAACCGGGAGGAAGGUGGGGAUGAUGUCAAGUCCUCAUGGCCCUUAUGUCCAGGGCUACACACGUGCUACAAUGGGCGAUACAAACCGUUGCAAGACCGCGAGGUGGAGCUAAUCGGAGAAAGUCGCCCUCAGUUCGGAUUGCAGGCUGCAACUCGCCUGCAUGAAGUUGGAAUCGCUAGUAAUCGUGUAUCAGAAUGAUACGGUGAAUACGUUCCCGGGCCUU
This 464-nucleotide ribosomal RNA is filed under the name uncultured bacterium. Its description in RNAcentral is "bacterial SSU rRNA". It matches the Rfam family "Bacterial small subunit ribosomal RNA", at positions 917 to 1382 of the family's 1533-position model. The record is from RNAcentral.